Molecule: non-coding RNA, 138 nt
Filed under: Foraminifera environmental sample
Lineage: Eukaryota; Foraminifera
Source: RNAcentral
UAUAAAUGCAUAUCAGUUGCAAACACUAAACAAGAAAAUCAAGGAAAGAAAGGAAAACUGCCUUGUGAUGUGACAUCUUAUUUGCAUUUUAUAUUUAUUCCUUUACUGUCGUUUGAUCUGAGCGAACGACAAAAACAG